AAGGCAGAGGUCUGCAAAACCUUUAUCACCGGUUCAAAUCCGGUUGCCGCCUCCAGGUUUAUGCGGGAGUAGUUCA
Molecule: transfer RNA, 76 nt
Filed under: Staphylococcus aureus
Lineage: Bacteria; Bacillati; Bacillota; Bacilli; Caryophanales; Staphylococcaceae
Description: tRNA-Asp-GTC
Rfam family: tRNA (bases 1-52)
About the family: Transfer RNA (tRNA) molecules are approximately 80 nucleotides in length.
Source: RNAcentral